GGUAAGGUCUUAGCAGCUACCAGGACCACUUUUCCUGAGGAUCUGCCCUCCAAAAUUCCCCGAUGCAGCAUUGGCUGUCCCAGAGCUUGGCAGCUGGAACAAGGAAUCAUCAUUUGGGAGACAAUGGGCUUCAUACAGUAGGAAGCUGGCAUGUGUUUGUGUUUCGUCUUGAAAGGGGCGGAAUGCUCCAACUAUCACCUGAAGAAAGGCCUCGGAGGCACAUUUUGGAUACGGGACCUGAUUAUAGCUCUGAACUCACAGGUAAUAAGCCUUAAGCUAAAACACCGUUCAGCUCACAGAAGACAUCCUGACCAGGUCCACCUGUGGAAUGGCUACAGGGAGGAAGAAAUUAAGACGUCCUCCAGAGGCCGAUGGGAACCAGGAAGUGUCUUACUUUAUUCCCUCCCCUUUUAGUGUAAGAGGAGCCUGAAUUGUAACUCUGGUAAGAUGGUCUUAUGGGGCAUGAGCCCACCAUCUUCUCAGUUUGCUGGUUUUCCAAAUAAAGUUAUUCCUUGCC
Long non-coding RNA from Bubalus bubalis (water buffalo), 517 nucleotides. RefSeq lists it as uncharacterized. The record is from RefSeq and is a predicted model, not a curated record. The transcript is spliced from 3 exons. NCBI's taxonomy places the organism in Eukaryota, Metazoa, Chordata, Mammalia, Artiodactyla, Bovidae.